CACGAAACUGCACGCUCCGGCGUGACAGCGUACUGGGGAUGCCUGUGUAGAUGCAGUCCGGGCUUGCCUGGACCGCUAGCAGAUGGGCUCUGUGGAUGACUGGCCGCUGGCUAGACCUGAAACCUGAGCAACGGGAGGUAACCUCUCGCCGCGGACACCGGAAUGGUAGAAGCGGCGUGCUGCGUCCUCCUCUUGGGGCCCCUAAGCCACACCUCCCAUAGCGGGUUCGGUGCGGCGGACGGACGCCCUGGGGAAUUUAGAGGGGGAAAGCGGAUUGCCCUAGCGGUGUUGUUGGCCCUGCCGACCUCACUGCGAAAGGCGCGACUUCACCGUCGCCACCCAGUAACUUGUCUCUCCGGCGCUUCACGGCGCUGGUGGCCAACCCCGGCACACGAUAGUUACCUGGUUGAUUCUGCCAGUAGUCAUAUGCUUGUCUCAAAGAUUAAGCCAUGCAUGUCUAAGUAUAAGCAAUUAUACCGCGAAACUGCGAAUGGCUCAUUAUAUAAGUUAUCGUUUAUUUGAUAGUACCUUACUACUUGGAUCUCAACGCUUAUAAGUCAGAUUCCACACCAGAA
This 575-nucleotide ribosomal RNA is filed under the name Fusarium oxysporum. Its description in RNAcentral is "partial 28S ribosomal RNA". The stretch from base 400 to 575 matches the Rfam family "Eukaryotic small subunit ribosomal RNA", at positions 1 to 186 of the family's 1831-position model. Lineage: Eukaryota; Fungi; Ascomycota; Sordariomycetes; Hypocreales; Nectriaceae. The record is from RNAcentral.